UACAGAGGGGGCAAGCGUUGUUCGGAAUUACUGGGCGCAAAGGGCGCGUAGGCGGCCUGUUAAGUCGAACGUGAAAUCCCUGGGCUCAACCCAGGAACUGCGUCCGAUACUGGCAGGCUUGAAUCCGGGAGAGGGAUGUGGAAUUCCAGGUGUAGCGGUGAAAUGCGUAGAUAUCUGGAGGAAUACCGGUGGCGAAGGCGGCAUCCUGGACCGAGAUUGACACUGAUGAGCGAAAGCUAGGGGAGCAAACGGG
RNAcentral lists this ribosomal RNA (253 nucleotides) under uncultured bacterium. Its description in RNAcentral is "partial 16S ribosomal RNA". It matches the Rfam family "Bacterial small subunit ribosomal RNA", at positions 524 to 776 of the family's 1533-position model. The record is from RNAcentral.